AGGCAGUGUAUUGUUAGCUGGCUGCUUA
This 28-nucleotide non-coding RNA is filed under the name Homo sapiens (human). RNAcentral also lists the same sequence under 1 other name. The record is from RNAcentral. Lineage: Eukaryota; Metazoa; Chordata; Mammalia; Primates; Hominidae.